RNAcentral lists this ribosomal RNA (463 nucleotides) under uncultured bacterium. RNAcentral's name for it is "partial 16S ribosomal RNA". It matches the Rfam family "Bacterial small subunit ribosomal RNA", at positions 28 to 507 of the family's 1533-position model. The record is from RNAcentral.
GACGAACGCUGGCGGCGUGCUUAACACAUGCAAGUCGAACGGAAAGGCCUUUUCGGCGGUACUCGCGUGGCGAACGGGUGAGUAACACGUGGGUGAUCUGCCCUGCACUCUCGGAUAAGCCUGGGAAACUGGGUCUAAUACCGGAUAGGACCGCACUUUAGUGUGUGUGGUGGAAAGUUUUUUCGGUGUAGGAUGAGCCCGCGGCCUAUCAGCUUGUUGGUGGGGUAAUGGCCUACCAAGGCGGCGACGGGUAGCCGGACUGGGAGGUUGGUCGGCCACAAUGGGACUGGGAUACGGGCCAGACUCCUACGGGGGGCAGGAGUGGGGAAUAUUGCACAAUGGGCGCGAGCCUGAUGCAGCGACGCCGGGUGGGGGAUGACGGCCUUCGGGUUGGAAACUCCUUUCGCCAGGGACGAAGCGUUUUGUGACGGUACCUGGAGAAGAAGCACCGGCUAACUACGUG